UGGUAGGUUUUUGUUCUAUCAACAAGUCAACCUUCAGGCUUCUAUAUAUUGUUGUUCAAAGUAUAUUUAAUAACCCCUUCCAUCUCUCAACUCAACUCAACUCUAUAUAUUGACUCAGCAAUAUCAAGCAUCAAAGCACAUCAACUCUAUAAAUCAAGCAUGUGCAAUCAAGUCCGGUAUGUCUCGUUCUAUAUGUUUUAGUUUCAUCCAUGUAUUCAGCAAGAUCUUUACAUACAUACAUGAUACAUAUUUACAUGCAUACAUACAUAAAUUACAUAUAUAUUAGUACAUGCAGGGUGUUGCAAAAUGGUAUCGAUUUCUCAUCAGAACCUACAAACAUCCUUAGACAGAUUAAAAGUUUGUAGAAUUCAUGUACCUAUUUUGCUUUGUCUGCUCUCUUUGCAGCGCACAGAAGGCAUGUCUUAGCGUCGAUUCUUGCAGUUUUUUCUUCCUUGUGUGUCACUGUUGACCUGCAUAGAUCAGUGUAUCGGAUGAUACUGAGUAAUACCUCGUCUUGGUGGCAACUUCCGUAAAAUGAAAAGGACCAAAAUCGAAGGUAAUAUCUCCACCAACUGCCCAAUAAAAGAAAACAAAACGAAAAGAAAAAGUUUCUGAGGAUAGUUGAAUGCCAUCUUUGUAAUCAACAUCAAGAAACAACAUUAAAAUACUUAUAUAUAUAUAUAUCAUCAAUUUCAGUAAUUCCUCCCCAUUUUGGUAGCAAAAUAGAAAAAAAAGUUCAGUCAGUUUUCUUUCAAUUUCCCCUAUUUUAGAGAGCUAUAUAUAUAUAUACAUGUUCAACAGAGAUACCUAGAAGUUAGCCUCUAGCCUUUUAUAUAAACAUAAGCAAUUAAAAGAAAGAGAAAAGAAUUAGCAAGACAUGAAGAAAAUAUUAUCAACUAUACUCUCAGGUAAAAUUAUUAUCCCCAAAGUUCGAGAACUAGUUUGCAAAUAAUGAUAACAUAAAGUCGCAACUCACAACUGCAUCUAAAAAUUUCUUCCACUUAACAAUCUGAUGGCAAAGUCUUAUAAAUUGCUUACGAAAUUUAUUGAAAUAUGCAUUAAAUUUAGCAGCAAAAUAAACAAGGAAACAAGGAAUUGGCAAUCUUCUCGGUUUUCCUAUGGCAAUGAAAAGGGUUAAGCAACCUCCACACUGUAUUUCAAUAUGAUUGUUUCAAUCAUGAGAAAAUUAGAAACAUGAAGAAAUAUUUAUUAAACAUACCAGGUAAUAUAUGAAGUUUAGAACUGGAUGGUUCAGAACAUUAAGAUCAGCAGCUUUAUCAAAUGCAUCAAAGCACAUCUAAAACAAAAAUUAACAAUGGAGCUCGAAUUAGCAAACGCUUUGGACAAACAUCAUCAUAAAUGAGCAAAGUCCAAGAUAUGAAAUUCAGUAAGAUGCAUACUACUUAAUCACCAUUGAUUAAUCAAAUAGAUUAGCAAUUUAAACCAACUAGCAGCUAAGGUUCAACUAAAAUGCUUUCAUUUUGAAACAAAAGUGCUAUAACAUUAUGGGAAAAUAUUUGGUACACUGCAAGUGGAGUUUUUAGACUCCACAAGCACAGUUAGGGGGUUGACAAGUAUCGUAUAGAGGUACAGUAAAAUAUUAAAAAAAUAAAUAUUUUUAAAAAAGACACAUGGAAAUUUUUUAGGGUUGCUUAUGCAAUAAAAACAAAUACACUGCCAGUGUACCAAAUACUAACCCUAACACUAUACAUACCUAAAAGUUUCACAAAAGCCUAACAAAACGUGCUUGUAGUAUUGUCAAUUUGAGAUGUGUAGUGUUAGUAAAGCCAGAAAGGAGAUUAAUAAUCUACCAUAAUGCAUCUGACUAGGAAACAUGAGGAGCAUAUGACAGUCACAUAACCAACCUGCCAAAUACAAAAAGAAAUAACAAUAAAAAAUUGUAAAUAGAAGUUCAAAUCGUUGUACUUAAAAACCACAUCUACUUCCAAAGUAAAUAUGUACUUCUUGCAGCUUAUUUUGUCGCCCUUUGGACUCUACAGGGAAUCGCUGCAACAUUAAGAAAAGCCUGCAAGGAUUGAACUUAUUACAUAUAGAUAUACAUAGAGAGAGAGAGAGAAUUUCAAGGUAUAUAUAUAGUAUGGUUACAAUGUUCUCUUACAAAUGAAUGGGAGAAACUGUAAUUACGGCAUAAAUGAAUAGAACAAAAAGGGUCAACCAUAAUUUUCUCUGGGAAGUACCAAAUAAACAUGAACUAAUUUAUCAGCAAAAUAGUAACUGCUCCAUGACACUUGCCAACUGAAUUAUCAAUGAUGAGCAUGAAUAUAGG
Molecule: long non-coding RNA, 2287 nt
Filed under: Gossypium barbadense (sea-island cotton)
Lineage: Eukaryota; Viridiplantae; Streptophyta; Magnoliopsida; Malvales; Malvaceae
Description: long non-coding RNA (GBAR_LNC015882)
Source: RNAcentral